RNAcentral lists this unclassified non-coding RNA (231 nucleotides) under uncultured fungus. RNAcentral describes it as "sequence contains ITS1, 5.8S rRNA gene". The stretch from base 183 to 231 matches the Rfam family "5.8S ribosomal RNA", at positions 1 to 49 of the family's 154-position model. Lineage: Eukaryota; Fungi. The record is from RNAcentral.
UCUCCGUAGGUUAACCUUCGGAGGGAUCAUUACUGAGUGAGGGCUUCGGUCCGACCUCCAACCCCCUGCCUUCCGACUCUGUUGCCUCGGGGGCGACCCGGCCCUCUGGGCGUCGGGGCCCCCGGUGGCUCACACCUCAACUCUUGCAUCUGUGCGUCUGAGUAACAUAUUGAAUCAAUCAAAACUUUCAACAACGGAGCUCUUGGUUCUGGCAUCGAUGAAGAACGCAGC